AGCGGGGGACCUCUUCCCUUCCUCAAAGCUAGUGAGAAUCCUACCUUCUGUGGUUUUAGCCUCGAUCAGUGUCUCGCAAGGAUCAGGCGGGCCAGGCCAGAACUCUAUAUUAGUCUAUUCUGCGAACCAUAGAUUAUGCUGCUGCUGACAGUCGUCCGUUGUAGGAGGUUGGGGUUCGGGGUCAGAUGUCAUGUAAUCCUUCCUUUGGUGGCAUCGGAAAGGGACAUUUAAUGAGGGAAGUAGAUGCCUUGGAUGGCCUGUGUUCUCGCAUCUGUGACCAGUCUGGUGUACAUUAUAAAGUAUUAAACCGGCGUAAGGGACCAGCUGUGUGGGGUCUGAGAGCUCAGAUUGAUAGGAAACUCUAUAAACAGAACAUGCAGGUAAGAAUAGGGCAUGAGCACAGGAAAGAUUAUGGUGAUUGUUUAAUUACCAUGUUUCAACUGGCAUUUUCUUUUGACAGAAAGAAAUCUUGAAUACACCACUGCUUACUGUUCAGGAGGGAGCUGUAGAAGAUCUUAUUCUUACAGAACCAGAGCCUGAACACACUGGGAAAUGCCGUGUCAGUGGGGUUGUUUUGGUGGAUGGAAGCACAGUAUAUGCAGAGAGUGUGAUUCUGACUACUGGG
Molecule: small RNA, 625 nt
Filed under: Pan troglodytes (chimpanzee)
Lineage: Eukaryota; Metazoa; Chordata; Mammalia; Primates; Hominidae
Description: processed transcript
Source: RNAcentral